Molecule: long non-coding RNA, 622 nt
Organism: Drosophila rhopaloa
Lineage: Eukaryota; Metazoa; Arthropoda; Insecta; Diptera; Drosophilidae
Exons: 2
Source: RefSeq, a predicted model, not a curated record
UGGUCAGCUUUGUAUGUGUACGGCUUAAGUCAUAUACAUAUGUAGUUUUGAGAGUCACUUUGUUUGUCUUAUCUUAUCUCUAAAACAAAAGCUCAAAAGAUAAAGCCACGCUUGUGUAAAAGAACUUUGGUUAGCUGAUUUAUCUUAGUCAGCAAUACUAUCUGUUUUUUUUUGAAGUAAGCUUAUCCUACGCCCACGCGGUUCAUGGAAAAUUUUAAGCAUGUGCAUUUAGUUGGUCAGAGUCUCUCAAAUAAAUCAGAUCGUUCUUGGAGUAAAUAAAAUCGUACACUUAAAACACGUGAUAAUUUUUGCACAUGCCAAAUAAAUAUAAAAAGGCAAUUUUAAUCAAAGUGCGUUACAAAAAUAUUAAGUGCAUAAUAGAAAACCGAUCAAGAGACGUAGGAAGAACCUAACUUGGCAAAACAUAUAUCUGUGCAGUUUCAGGAUUUGUGGUUGGAUUUAAAUCCACCAAUUAAUGAAACUGCACCUUCUGACGAAGCACCACAAAAUAAUUUAGCUGUUAAGCUGGCCAAGCGACGUUCAACCUGAUCAACUAAAAACUCACAGCAGCGCAGCGUAAAGGAAAUAACUUGGAUGAGAAUUAAAACUAUAUAUACUGGAC